RNAcentral lists this small RNA (631 nucleotides) under Pan troglodytes (chimpanzee). RNAcentral's name for it is "retained intron". The record is from RNAcentral. Lineage: Eukaryota; Metazoa; Chordata; Mammalia; Primates; Hominidae.
CGGGCCCUGCGCGGGGAGGCUGGUCCCAACUUUGCGUGGGCUUCGCGUGGGCCCGGCCUCGCCGCUGCAGUCGCCCGCCUGGCAUGGCCAACUGGGUGUUCUGUAAUCGCUGCUUCCAGCCGCCCCACAGGACGUCGUGCUUCAGCCUCACCAACUGCGGGCACGUGUACUGCGACGCCUGCCUCGGCAAAGGUAAAAAGAAUGAAUGCUUGAUUUGUAAAGCUCCUUGUCGUACAGUUUUACUUUCAAAGCAUACCGACGCAGAUAUCCAGGCAUUCUUCAUGAGCAUAGACAGUCUGUGUAAGAAGUACUCGAGGGAAACCUCCCAGGUGAGCUGUGAGGGGUGUGGCUUGGUUCCGUGAUGAGCCAGGUGCACUAUCCCAAGACCAUGGAGCUGUGGGGGGUGCACUCGGUUCCAUGAUGAGCCAGGUGCGCUAUCCCGAGACCAUGGAGCUGUGGGGGGUGUGGUUGGUUCCGUGAUGAGCCAGGUGCACUAUCCCGAGACCAUGAAGCUGUAGGGGGUGUGCUUGGUUCCAUGAUGAGCCAGGUGCGCUAUGCUGAGACCAUGGAGCUGUGGGGGGUGUGCUUGGUUCCGUGAUGAGCCAGGUGCACUAUCCCGAGACCAUGGAGC